This 64-nucleotide transfer RNA is filed under the name Anopheles pseudotibiamaculatus. RNAcentral's name for it is "tRNA-Cys". Lineage: Eukaryota; Metazoa; Arthropoda; Insecta; Diptera; Culicidae. The record is from RNAcentral.
GGCUUUAUAGUCAAUAAUGAUAUUAGACUGCAAUUCUAAAGGGAUAAAAUUUUUAUUAAAGCUU